GACGAACGCUGGCGGCGUGCCUAAUGCAUGCAAGUCGCACGCGGCACCUUCGGGUGCUGAGUGGCGAACGGCUGAGGAACACGUGGGGACCUGUCCGGGAGUGGGGGACAACACCGCGAAAGCGGUGCUAAUCCCGCAUACGCUCUGAGGAGGAAAGCCGAAAGGCGCUCCCGGGUGGCCCUGCGGCCCAUCAGGUUGUUGGUGGGGUAACGGCCUACCAAGCCAAUGACGGGUCGCUGGUCUGUGAGGACGACCAGCCAGACUGGGACUGGGACACGGCCCAGACCCCAACGGGGGGCAGCAGCAAGGAAUUUUCGGAAAGGGGGGCAAGCCUGACCGGGCAACCCCGGGUGAAGGAAGCCGGCCUUCGGGUUGUAAACUGUUUUUGUGAGGGAUGAUAACGGACAGUCCCUGGCGAAUCAGCCCCGGCUACCUCUGU
This 439-nucleotide ribosomal RNA is filed under the name uncultured bacterium. RNAcentral's name for it is "partial 16S ribosomal RNA". It matches the Rfam family "Bacterial small subunit ribosomal RNA", at positions 28 to 506 of the family's 1533-position model. The record is from RNAcentral.